RNAcentral lists this ribosomal RNA (413 nucleotides) under uncultured bacterium. RNAcentral's name for it is "bacterial SSU rRNA". It matches the Rfam family "Bacterial small subunit ribosomal RNA", at positions 30 to 440 of the family's 1533-position model. The record is from RNAcentral.
AUUGAACGCUGGCGGCGUGCCUAACACAUGCAAGUCGAGCGGUAACAGGUGUAGCAAUACAUGCUGACGAGCGGCGGACGGGUGAGUAACGCUUGGGAAUCUGCCUAUUAGUGGAGGACAACCCGGGGAAACUCGGGCUAAUACCGCAUACGCUCUACGGAGGAAAGCCGGGGACCGCAAGGCCUGGCGUUAAUAGAUGAGCCCAAGUCGGAUUAGCUAGUUGGUAGGGUAAUGGCCUACCAAGGCGACGAUCCGUAACUGGUACUGAGAGGACGACCAGUCACACCGGAACUGAGACACGGUCCGGACUCCUACGGGAGGCAGCAGUGGGGAAUAUUGGACAAUGGGCGAAAGCCUGAUCCAGCGACGCCGCGUGGGUGAAGAAGGCCUGCGGGUUGUAAAGCCCUUUCAGU